ACACAUUUAUGGAAACUAUAAAUAUAUAUAGGUAUAAAACAACUGCCCACUCACAAGUACGUCGUUGGGUCGUAGCCCCCGAGCCUAGCUUGGCCUCGAAAAUCCUCGGAAUAAGUUUCCCCUAUAUGUGAAAUAACUAAAUAUCAUUAAUUAACGUACAUAACGGAAACCUACAUAAAACCCCCAUAGUUUGCUCAAACCUAGGGUAUAAAUAUAUGAAAUCGAUCUACUCGACGACACGAACGCGUACGUACCAACCACGCGCCAGUCAGAGGCCGGACGUGCCCCCACGCGCCCCCGCGAGUACACUGUACUUGCCUUCUUCGCGAAAAUCUGCAGUUUUGCAGAUUUUUGGGUCAACUUCCAGAGCCUAUAACGAGCUCGAUUCUCAACCAAAUUCACUUCUACAAAAGCCAAAUUAAAGCUAGGAAUGUGAUCUACCGAUAAUUUACAAAAAGUUCAAAUCUAGUCCUUGUUGUUCGGAAAUUUGGCCUGAAAGUGGCCAAACGACCACGGUUACAAAAUUUCCAGAAACUGAAAUUUUCUUCCUAACUUCCAGAGUUGAUUUCUAACUCGUUACUUAACCAAACUCAGUGAUUCAAAAGCCAUUUUGAAGUUAGGAAUGUAGAGAACAAGUUUGUACCUAGAAGAAGUUCAGUUGUGGUCGAGGUUGACCAGAAAAAUGGUUUGAAAGUGACUAAAAGGCCACGGUUCUUGAACGAAAAACUUCGGGUUCUCCUUCUUCCUCGGCUCGCCGGACUGUUUUCGCCGGUUUCUGGGCAGUUUUUCAAAUUGCCAUAACUUUGUCAUUUCUUCACCAUUUUCAACGUACUUUAUAUAAAAAUGAAGAUAUUGACGAGACGAACACAUCUAUACCUGUCUCGACUCUUAACUCGCUGGGAAUUCACCGGAAAAAGCCUCGAAAGCCGUCGGACUCGC
RNAcentral lists this long non-coding RNA (939 nucleotides) under Malus domestica (apple). RNAcentral's name for it is "long non-coding RNA (MDOM_LNC011628)". Lineage: Eukaryota; Viridiplantae; Streptophyta; Magnoliopsida; Rosales; Rosaceae. The record is from RNAcentral.